RNAcentral lists this long non-coding RNA (1367 nucleotides) under Physcomitrium patens. Its description in RNAcentral is "long non-coding RNA (PPAT_LNC005061)". Lineage: Eukaryota; Viridiplantae; Streptophyta; Bryopsida; Funariales; Funariaceae. The record is from RNAcentral.
UCUUUGGCCUCUCUUAAAAGUAGCAUAGUGGCAGUGUUAGAUUGGAGCGGCAUUCUGCGUGUUUCCCGCGUGAGCGAUGGUGGUCCUCGGAUCCUUCGACGGGGUUUUUGUUUAACCAUUUUCGUAUUCAAUUGGUACACAUUCUAUCAUACAAGCCAGUAGUUAUAGAAUUACCAAGACUUGUGCAUGAACAAAUUUUGAAGAAAUCUCAGGUCAUAACGAGUGUUCGUCUGCGCUGUAGGUCAAAAAAUAGUUUCAACAAAACCUCGGGAGCAUUAUUUUGAAUUUUCAUAUUGAUUUAGCUGCAUAUGAAGCAGAACUUUUUGUAAACACCUUUAGUUAUGUAUCGAGAUCAACACAAUCGUGAUAGGGUCUAAUCGGACUGUUAAACGUCCUGAUCAGAAUAACGUCUGUGCUCAGCAAUUUUGUUGGUUCCGAUCAGGAUUCAGCCCAAGGUAGUAACUAGUAGGGUUUACUUACUAUGCUGAGAGUAUGGUAACUAGUUGGGUAGUUUUUGUAAACCCCACUAGGUACUCCGUGUGUGUGUGUGUUUUUGACUUUUUGUGUUUUCUUUUUCUUUUUCAUGGGUUUAUUCACUAUGCUAACAACCAGCGUCGCUUGAAGAUGUUUCUAAAAAACUGUGAACGUCAUGAGACUAGGACACAAUGUGUUGUUGAAACAACGAUCAUGGAUGUUAUAAUGUUCGAAUGCAGGUUCUGCUUUGAUCAAUAUACUUUACCCAUUAAGCAGCACAUGGUAUAAGUCUCAGAAACACGAGGUUCUUAGGCCACAUCAAAAAGGUAAGCUUCCGAUGCUUUUCUUGGCGGUUGAAUGAAGUCUCUGUUACUCAUCAAACUGAUUUUUAUUACCAACUUGUGAUACUUGUUUCAUCGCCCUCUCGAUGGAGGAUUUUGAUGUGCCCUGAUACAAGAUCUUUAAACAGAGAUUGGCAGGGAAGAAGCAAUUUGCAUAAAUUGCAUUUUACAUAAUGACGAUAAACUUUCUGGGUAACAGUACAUCCCAGCAAUCGUGCGCCACAGUAUAAUAGCGGGGAAAUUCCUAAGAUGUGGCAGUCAUCGAUCUAUCGUUAUCGAAUUUGGAGAGCAUAAGGGUGAAUACUUUACUGAAGGGUGAUUCUCAAUUAGAGGCCUUUGAAGAGAGGGCUUAUCACAAUGCUGAGCAUUAGCCUGACCAUAUUGUACCGAUAUCAAUCUUUUAAGGUACAGAUGAAAAAACUGAUUAGAGCAGAAAUCAUUUUCUUUCGUUCCACUCAUUAGUCACUUGUAUACACAUAUCCUAGGCUCACCGUCUGCAACUUGUGAGAAAGUAUCUAUGUUUGAAAUUGGCUGAAACUUUGUUGAUGAUGC